This 10877-nucleotide long non-coding RNA is filed under the name Homo sapiens (human). RNAcentral's name for it is "non-protein coding lnc-TMEM178A-1:10". The record is from RNAcentral. Lineage: Eukaryota; Metazoa; Chordata; Mammalia; Primates; Hominidae.
GGCUCCGCGCGCCUGCCAGGCCGGGGCCGGCGGCGGAACAGCUUGGGACCCGAAACGCCUCGGCUUUUCUGCGGACCCGCGCCCGGCCGCUGCCGCCGGACGCUUGAAAAGAGGCAGAGUCUUGCUUUGUUGUCCAGGCUGGUCUUGAACUUCUGAGCUCAAGUGAUCCUCCCGCCUUGGCCUCCCAAAGUGCUGAGACUACAGAGAGAGAAUGCUAACGAGCUGUGAAAUGACCAAAGAUCUGGCAGCAGAAGGGAAAAGAAAAAAUAAUGGAAUAUUUUCUGUCUACAAUUGGUUGAAUCUGUGGAUGUGGAAACUGCAGAUACAGAUGGAGAGCCGACUAUACUAGCUUUUUGUUUCAUUUUUCACUUCUGGUGUGUGUGUGUGUGUGUGUGUGUGUGUGUGUGUGUGUGUAUCUGUGUGUGUGUUUUAUUAAUCUCUGUGCCUGCAUGUUAGUUUCUUCCUCUUUAUUUGGAUUUUCACUAACAUUCUUUUCAGCUUCUUCAGUUGGAUACUUGUUGCCAAUAUAUUUUUUUUCAUUCUAAGAAUUAAAUAAAUGGGCCAGGCGUGGUGGCUCAUGCCUGUAAUCCCAGCACUUUGGGAGGCCAAGAUGGGUGGAUCACAAGGUCAGGUGUUUGAGACCAGCUUGGCCAAAGCUGGUGAAACUCCAUCUCUACUAAAAAUACAAAAAUUAGCUGGGCAUGGUGGUGCGCGUCUAUAAUCCCAGCUACUCAGGAAGCUGAGGCAGGAGAAUCACUUGCACCCAAGAAGUGGAGGUUGCAGUGAGCCAAGAUUGCGCCAUUGCACCCCAGCCUGGGCAACACAGCGAGACUCCAUCUGAAAAAAAAAAAAAAGAAUAAAUGAAUGUAUUAAUCACCAAACUGCUCUUCAUCAGAAACUCUUAGCAGUGUCUCACUCUGUUCACCAGGCUGGAGUGCAAUGGUGUGAUCAUGACUCACUGAAGCCUUGACCUCCUGGGCUGAAGCAAUCUUCCUGCCUCAGCCCUGCAAGUAGCUGGGCCUACGGGCACACGCCGCCAUGCCUAGCUAAUUUUUGUAUUUUUUGUAGAAACAGGGUUUCACAUGUUGCCCAGACUAGUCAUGACCUCCUUAGCUCAAGUGAGCCACCUGUCUCAGCCUCCCAAAGUGCUGGGAUUUCAGGUGUGAGCCACCAUGGUUGGCCCCUAAUACACAUCUUUUUUUUUUUUUUCUUUUUUUUUUGAGAUGGAUUCUCACUCUGUCUCUCAGGCUGGAGUGCAGUGGCACGAUCUUGGCUCACUGCAGCCUCUGCCUCCCAGGUUGAAGCGAUUCUCCUGCCUCAGCCUCCCGAGUAGCUGGAUUACAGGCGCUUGCCACCACGCUCUGCUAAUUUUUGUAUUUUUAGUAAAGAUGGGUUUUGCCAUGUUGGCCAGGCUGGUCUUGAACUUCUGGUCUCAAGUGAUCCGCCCUCCUCAGCCUCCCAAAGUGCUGGGAUUACAGGUGUGAGCCACUGCGUCAGGCCAAUACACAUCUUCUAGUUUAUUUAAAGUGCUAGAUAGUAUUUCAUUGUAUAAAAAGACCACAGUUUAUUCAUUCUUUUGUUGAUAGAUCUUUAAAUUGUUUCCAUUAUUUUUCCCUUACAAACAAUGCAUGAUAAAUGUUUUUGUAUGUGUCUCCUUGUGAGAGUUAUAUAUCUAGGUGUGACAUCACUGGGUUCUAUCACAAGUCUUUGGAAGUAAUUUUUAUGUGGAUAGUGCAACAAUAUGACUAGUUACUUAAAAGAAAAAAAUUAAGUCAAGAUAAGUGGCGGAAGACACAGAAAUUCAGAAAUAGGAUGUAAAAUAGUAAUGGAAUAGUAGGUAAAUUAGAUACAUAAUCCUAUGCCUUUUUUUUUCUUUUUGAGACGGAGUCUCGCACUGUCGCCAAGGCUGGAGUGCAGUGGCGCCAUCUCGGCUCACUGCAAGCUCUGCCUCCGGGGUUCACACCAUUCUCCUGCCUCAGCCUCCCGAAUAGCUGGGACUGUAGGCGCCCGCCACAUGCCCGGCUAAUUUUUUGUAUUUUUACUAGAGGCAGGGUUUCACGGUGUUAGCCAGGAUGGUUUCAAUGUCCUGACCUUGUCAUCCGUCCGCCUCAGCCUCGCAAAAUGCUGGUAUUACAGGCAUGAGCCACUCCGCCUGGCGACAAUCCUAUGCUUUUUUAAAAAGGUAGUUCAUCUUUUGGCUGGGCAUGGUGGCUCAUGUCUGUAAUCCCAGCACUUUGGGAGGCUGAGGCAGGAGGAUCACUUGAGGUCAAGAGUUUGAGACCAGCCUGACCAACAUGGUGAAACCCUGUCUCUACUAAAGGUACAAAAAUUAGCUGGGUGUGGUGGUGCACACCUGUAAUCCCAGCCACUUGGGAGACUGAGGCAGGAGAAUCACGUGAACAUGGGAGGCGGAGGUUGCGGUGAGCUGAGAUCACGCCAUUGUACGCCAGCUUGGGCAACAGAGCAAGACUCCAGCUCAAAAAAAAAAAAAAAAGGGAAACAUUAAUGAAAAGGUAAUUCAUCUUUUGAAAAAAAAAGUAGAGUGAACAUACUGAACAUCACAGAUUUUCAUCUACAUUUAAGAUGCUAGCUUUAGGCUGGGCGAGGUGGCUCAUGCCUGUAAUCCCAGCACUUUGGGAGGCCAAGGUGGGUGGAUCACCUGAGAUCAGGAAUUCGAGACCAGCUUGACCAAUAUGGUAAAACCCUAUCUCUACUAAAAAUACAAAAAUUAGCUGGCAUGGUGGCGUGCACCUGUAGUCCCAGCUACUUAGGAGGCUGAGACAGGAGAAUUGUUUGAACCUGGGAGGCGGAGGUUGCAGUGAGCUGAGAUUGGGUCACUGCACUCCAGCCUGGGCAAGAGAGUGAAACGCUGCCUCACAAAAAAAAAAAAAAAAAAAAAAAAAGAUGCUACCUUUAGUGUCACUGCUUCUGUGAAGCCUUCCAAAAAUUGCCUUUUUUUCAAUUACUUUCUCCUUUUGACCUCCAUUCUCUCUACCUCUGUUAUAUGAUAUUGUGCAUUAUAUUUGCUGUGGUUUGUUUAUAUCUCUCUCAGCAGGCUGAAUGUGUUUUGAAGGUGGAGUUCAUGUCUUAUUCGUAUCCCCAGGGUGUGGUGUGCAGUUGGUGGUUAAGUCUGAGGAAUGAAUGAAUGGCCCAAAUCACCGAAGAUCUUUCAGAGGUGGCAGUGGGGUUUCUUUUUUUCUUUUCGAGAUGGAGUCUUACUCUGUCAUCCAGGCUGGAGUGCAGUGGCACAAUCUCAGCUCACCGCAACCUCUGCCACCCAGGUUCAAGUGAUUCUCCUGCCUCAGCCUCCCGAGUAGCUGGGAUUGCAGGCACGCACCACCACGUCUGGCUAAUUUUUUUAUUUUUGGUAGAGAUGGGGUUUCACCAUGUUGGCCAGGCUAGUCUUGAACUCCUGACCUCAAGUGAACUACCUGCCUCAGCCUCCCAAAGUGCUGGGAUUACAGGCGUGAGCCACUGUGCCCACUGGCAGUGGGUUUCUGAUGAUAGGAUAGUUUCAUGAAAGUUAGCUUAAAGUACAAAAAACUUUUUUUUUUUCUUUUUUUGAGACAGUCUCAUGCUCUGUCCUCCAGGCUGGAGUUCAGUGAUCUUGGCUUACUGCAACCUCUGCCUCCUGGGUUCACGCCAUUCUCCUGCCUCAGCCUCCUGAGUGGCUGGGACUACAGGUGUGCACCACCACGCCUGGCUAAUUUUUUGUAUUUUUAGUAGAGACAGGGUUUCACCAUGUUAGCCAGGAUGGCCUCGAUCUCCUGACCUCGUGAUCUGCCCGCCUCGGCCUCCCAAAGUGCUGGGAUUACAGGCAUGAGCCACCGUGCCCAGUGAAAAAGCUUUGAUCCUUUGUCUUCAAUUGCACCUAUGAAAAGGAAGUUUCGUAUAAAAGCUGAUAUAAAUGGCUAAUAAAGCAGAGAAAUAGCUUAAAAUUUGACUGUAGACAUUUGCUAUGUAUGAUUAAUAUGUAUCAGUUUACAGUUAAUUUUAGGAAAACUUAAAUUUUAUAAAUUGCCAAGAAAUCACCCAUGAAAAACUAAUUUUCACUUAGCGGUUUAAUUUUUUAACAUUAGGAUUUUUAAGUUUCGCUAGUCUUAUCAUCUGGGACACUGGAAUUUUGUCUUGUUGGAAUUGCUGAUUAAACAAAAUAAUUCUUCAAAAGUGCUUAGCACAAUGUUAGGUAAAUAGUAAGCACUAAGUAAACAUUGGCUUUAUUAUUAUUAGGUGGUCCUAUACUAUGAUUCCUCCUAUUUAUAUCACGUGUGUCUUGCUGCAUAUUUAAGGACGCUCCCAUCUAUAUGUUUGGACUAGUGCAAUAGUAAAGCUGCCAGCUCAGGUGAAGAAAACCAUUUAAAAAUUUAAAGUUAAGCACAUGAUGGAAAAUUCUUGAAUAUGUGGUGAGUUAGGUAUAAAAAAUAUAGGGGGAUUGUAUUGUUGAAUACAAAAAAGCCAUUAGACUAUUUUAAGAAUGCUCUCUUCUGUCAUUAGGGCUUGGUUAUGAAUAGUAUAUCACAUGCAUGAAAGGAGGUGGUGGCUAGUUUCAUUUCCCUAAAACAUGUUUCAAUGGUAAAUUAGAGGCAGCUGUGGUUUACUGACGCAUAAACCCAGUGAGGUCUAUGAUAACUAGUAUAUAUUUACAGUUUGACUCAUGGUGCCUGUCAGGCUUUAAUCAUAGGGGAAGAAGUGAUAGUACUUAGACUUCACUGUUUAAUCUUCCGUUCAUUUGUUUUCCAAGUUUGUUUCAGUCUGUGGGCAGGUUCCCUUUUGAUUGCAACAUGCAGUCCCUAUUUCUGCAGUUUAUCUUCAUUUGCCAUUUUGAGAGGGCUAUGAAAGUCCUAUGAUAAGCUCCUUGUUCUCCAAAUCCAUGCAUAUAAGUCUCAUCGAGUUGGAUGCAUUCUAAAGACAUUUUGAAAUCACAUCAACACUUUCAGAUCAGCAAGUUAUUUCUUAAUAAAUUACUGUCUUAAUGUUAGAUGCUAUUUUAAAAACACGAAAGAGAGCAGUUUCCAAAUAUGUGUUACUACUUCCAGGGAAUUGUAAACUGGAGUGUUUAAUUAAAAGAAGGCCCUAAAUUUUUAUUAUGCUGUCACUGGAUAUUUGAAUAACUAGCUGUAAAUGAGUUCUAGUUGUACAAAAGUGAUUUUCUAAAUCCAGUUGUCCCUAUUUCAAAAUAUAGUUCUAGUUCCUGGGUGAAACUGAAAAUGAAAUGGCCAUGUCUUUAUAACUAAAACAAAUUAGAGGGUUGCAGCAAUAAAAUGAACCCACAGAGGGGAAAAAAACCCUUUGAAUCAGGUUUUUAUUUUCUUCUCCUGAACUGAUUGGGUAAUUUACUCAACUAAUUUUGUCUAGUCAUUAGGAAGUUAAUACUCCAUUCUAUAAUUUCCUUCCACUCAAGUGAGCAAUACUGGUGCAUAUAAUUUGGAUUAAGAACAUUCCUCUACUCUUACAAAUAUUUGGAUAUAUGCCUUGAAUAUGCUUCCUCAUUUAGGCCACAGAAAUUUAUUCAAAGACAAAUCAAUCAAAGAUAAUAACAUUAACUACUAUUUAUUAAGCAUCUCCUUCAUGACAAGACUUUUUCCCAUAUUGAGAUAUAAUUGACAAUUGAAAAUUGUACAUAUUUAAAGUGUACAACAUGAUGAUUUGAUAUGCAUAUAUAUCCAUGCAUAUAUAUCCAUAUCCAUAUCCAUGCAUAUAUAUGGAUAUAUAUGCAUAUAUAUGCAUAUCAAAUCAUGUCGUACACUUUAAAUAUGUACAUAUUUCAAUUAUGCAUAUAUAUGCAUAUAUCCAUAUCAAAUCAUAUAUAUAUAAUAUGCAUAUAUAUCAUAUACAUAUCCAUCACCUCACAUAGUUACCAUUUUCUUUUGUUCUCUCUCUCUUUCUUCCUUCCUUUCUUUCCCUUCUUUUUUAUUUUUUGGUGGUGAGAACACUUAAGAUCCACCCUCUUAGCAAAUUUCAAGUAUAUAAUAUAGUGUUGCUAAUUGUAGUCACAUCGUUGUAGAAUACAUCUCCAGAAUUCAUUCAUUUGGAUAACUGAAACUCUGUAACCCUUUUCCAAUAUCUCCCCAUUCCUCUAUCCCUCCAGCUCAUGGCAACCAACAUUCCACUCUCUGCUGUUCUAAGUUUGACUACUUUAGUUUUUACAUAUAAGUGAAAUCAACACAGUAUUUGUUUUUCUGUGUCUCGCUUAGUUUACUUAGCUUAAUGUUCUUCAGGUUCAUUCAUGUUGUAAAUGACAGGAUUUCCUUUUGUUUUGAAGGCUGCAUAAUAUUCUGUUGUAUAUGUAUACCAUAUUUUCUUCAUCCAUUCAUCUGUUGAUGGACAUUUAGGUUGUUUUCAUAUCUUGGCUAUCAUGAAUAAUGCUGCAAUGAACGUAAGAGUAGAGAUAUCUCUUAGAAAUCCUGAUUUUCCUUUUUUUUUUCAGACAGUCUUGUCACCCAGGCUGAAGUGCAGUGGCAUGAUCUCGGCUCACUGCAACCUCCGCUUCUUGGGUUCAAGUGAUUCUCCUGCCUCAACCUCUGGAGUAACUGGGAUUAUAGGCAUAUGUCACCAUGCCCGGCUAAUUUUCUUAUUUUUAAUAGAGAUGGGGUUUCAUCAUGUUGGCCAGGCUGGUCUGGAACUCCUGACCUCAGGUGAUCUGCCCGCCUCGGCCUCCCACAGUGCUGGGAUUACAGGUGUGAGCCACCGUGCCUGGCCUAUUUGAUCAUCUUUUACAGCUUAGGGAAUUAAGGUUUAGAUGUGGCACAGGACAGAAACAUACUUUGAAGAUAGGUCUGUUUGACUUCAAAACCUGUGCUCUUUGCCAGGUGCAGUGGCUCACGCCUGUAAUCACAGCACUUUGCAAGGCCAAGGCAGGAGGAUCACUUGAGGUCAGGAGUUUGAGACCAGCCUGGCCAAUAUGGCAAAACCCUGUUUCUAUUAAAAAUGCAAAUAUUAGCCAGUCAUGGUGGUGUGCUCCUGUAAUCCCAGCUACUUGGGAGGCUGAGGCACGAGAAUCACCUGAAUCCCGGAGGUGGAGGUUGCAGUGAGCUGAGAUCGUGCCACUGCACUCCAGCCUGGGUGACAGAGUGAUAGUCUAUCUCAAAAAAAAAAAAAAAAACAAAAAACAAAAAACCCCCACAAAACCCACAAAACCAAACCAAAAAACCUGUGCUCCUUACUGUGCUCUCCUGCCUCUCAGUGCGAGAUAAACAGAGUGGGCAAAAUAGCCUAUGAUGUCAUCAUCCGCAAGGCCUGUUGCUACUGUGUGAUGCCUGCUCCCUAGAUGACCUCCUGGGGGGGUGAAGCGAGAGGAAAUCUGGCACCAAGCUGGUUGAGGGGCAGAGCGAGAAUGUCUGGGCUUCCCCCACCCAGCUUGGAAUGUGAGUGAUGCAAAUCAUCUCAUCGAAGGCUCAACUGCAGCCAGGAGACUCCUCCAGUGAUGAUGAGAGUGUACAAAUGAAGUGCAGGAGCGGGGGAGCCUUCACACACCUCCAGCCCUUCCUGCUUCUUGAAAUACUCAUAUCCUCUGGCAGAGACUAGCUACAGAAAUCCAUGUCCACUUACUCACAGCCUGAAAGAAACCCACACAGUGGACCAGGAAGGUUGUUGCAUGGUAAUUAGAGCUACUAUUGAAUUUCUAUUGUGCAUCUUCUCAAUUAGGCACAAUUACCACAUAUAAGAAAUGAGGAAAUUAAGACUCAGAGGAAUUAGGUGAAUUGCCCAAGGUUAUUACAUAGCUUAUACCUGGCCAACCAGGGUUUAAACAUUGUUCUAUAUCCUAAUCCAAGACCCAUGUUCCUCUCACUACUCAGGUUUAUUUCUUUCGCACAGGGAUAUUACAAAGUCAUUAUAUUUCCUGAUUAUAUUUUUGCUGCUGCUGUAUGACCAUCUCGUUUCUUGUCACUGACUUUAUCCAAAAGCAAGAACAUGGUAUGGAAUUUUGGGGGAAGCAGUUGAAAUGAAGUGUUGGAAUUUCAGAGCUUGCAUUACUGGAUUAUGUGUGGAUUGUUGUUUGUACUGCCUCUUUCUUCCUCCUGCUACCUCAUAUAGGUGCUUGAUAUCUGAUUAUUACAGUCUUUUUAGGGGUUCUUGAACAUACUCACUUGUAGAAAAGUGCUGGUUAAAAUCAUAACAGGCAGACAUUUGGGUUCUUAUAGCCUUGCAAUAAAUGGAAGGAAGUAACUUUUGGGCUUAUGAAAAUGUAUACUGCAAGGUUUUUCUUUCUUUCUUUCUUUCUUUCUUUCUUUCUUUCUUUCUUUCUUUCUUUCUUUCUUUUUCUUCCUUCCUUCCUUCUUCCUUCCUUCCUUUCUUCCUUUCUUCCUUCCUUCCUUCCUUUCUUCCUUUCUUCCCUUCUUUCUUUCUUUCUUGAGACAGGGUCUCGCUCCAUCACCCAGGCUGGAGUGCUCACUGCAAGGAUCCUCCUGCCUCAGCCUCCCAAGUAGCUAGGACUACAGGCAUAGCCACCAUGCCUGGCUAACUUUUCUUAUUUUUUGUUUUAUGUAGAGACAGUAUCUUGCUGUGUUGCCUAGGCUGGUCUCAAACUCCUGGCUUCAAGGGAUGCCCCCACCUUGGUCUUCCAAAAUUCUGAGAUUAUAGGCACGACCCACCAUGCCCAGUGGUUUUCUUAAAGUUCUCUGCAAGGUGUAGAUAGUUUCAUGAGUAAGAUGAUUAGUCAGUACAGUAGCAACAUUAGGUAAUUGGUUUUGCCAUUUCGAGCUUGUAGCAAAUUAUCCAUUCUUAUAUGACAAAGCCUAUGGGACAACUGGAGGACUUGAACUGUUUCUCUUCAGUGCCCGUAAAGAAGGGACUGAAGCUUCAUAAAUCUAGUCCUUCACUCUCCUAGCUCUGAUCCUGUCCUUUCUGUAAGUAAUGAUCAUAUUGCCUUCAGUAGGUGUUUGUCAAGUCUGUAUUUUGUUUUAGAGACAGGAGCUCGCUUUGCUGCCCAGGCUGGACUCGAACUCCUGGGCUCACUUUAUCCUCCUGCCUCAGCCUCUCUGAGUAGCUGGGACUACAAGCACUGCCAUGGAGACCAAUUUGUCAAGCAUUUUAAUACCAUCUCAUCACUGUAAUGAUCAACACAUGUGAUCUAAAAAUCUUUUACAUGGCAGUGGAAAGGGCUUGAGCCAUCUCCGUAUUAAAACCCAGGUGGUAUCCUCAUCCUUUAAUCUUGAAAUGUUGAAAGAGUUGAUUAGCUGUCCUUGCUAGCUAUCUCUAGGAAGGAUAGCUAAUAACUGUUUUGCUUUUGCUUUUGUGUGUGUGUGUGUAUAUAUAUUUAUAUGUAUAUAUGUGUGUAUAUAUAUACAAAAGCAAAAGCAAGACAGUAUUUGAAAUUUGAAGACAUUGAUUCUCAUAACCAGUCUAUUUCAGGAUUAAAUCACAUAACCACCAAUCUCUGCCAACCCACUUUCCAGUAACCACCCCACCUCCAAUUUCCUGUAAAUAGCAAACACUCUGUAGUAUUUCAUCUACAGGGAGCACUGUUGAGUAGCUGGAGUAGUAACAGUAUUUGCUUAUUUUUUUACUUGAGAAGGCUUUUUGUUUGUUUUGAGAUUGGUGUGUGUUGGGGGGGUCUCACUAUGUUGCCCAAGCUGGAUUUGAACCUCUGAGCUCAAACCUCCUGCCUCAGCCUCUUGAGUAACUGGGACUACAGAUGCGUCACCACGUCUGGCUACUUGAGAAGUUUUACAAUUUUUAUGUUUUAAAAGCAGGAAAAGAAAAAAAUCUAGGACUUGUCUCUGUCAUAACAUCAUCCAUAAAAAGUGAUUUUAAGAUGAAGAUUUCUCCUAGAGAGAUACAAGCUGGUGGAUCUAGCAUUCAGCUCUCACUUUCAUUCAAUAUAGUUGUCAUUUUAGACCCAAGCUUUCCCUAGAGAUAGUGAUUCCACCAGGGGAAGCAAUAUGUGAAGUUAUUGCAAGAAACUUUUUGUGUGAAAUUGUGACUGCUGCCAGAGAUGUCAUAUGUUUUAGUUAACUUUCUUCCCAGGAACCAAGAAAAUUUCCCAAGCCCCAGAUAAAUACAGCUGGAAUGCUAUUCAGAAGUCAGUAGCAUGGGGCUGAAGAGAGAGACUGAAUUUUACACACUCCAUUUGUUUCUGGUUGAGAUAAACCCUCUGUUCUAUUUUGCUUACGGUAAAAAUCCAAUUCACUUUGAAAGUUGUAAAGCCCAAAGAACUCAAACAAAUUUACAAGAAACAAACAACCCCAUCAACAAGUGGCCGAAGGAUAUGAACAGACACGUCUCAGAAGAAGGCAUUUAUGGAGCCAACAGACACAUGAAAAAAUGCUCAUCAUCACUGGCCAUCAGAGAAAUGCAAAUCAAAACCACAAUGAGAUACCAUCUCACACCAGUUAGAAUGGCGAUCAUUAAUAAGUCAGGAAACAAUAGGUGCUGGAGAGGAUGUGGAGAAAUAGGAACACUUUUACACUGUUGGUGGGACUGUAAACUAGUUCGACCAUUGUGGAAGACAGUGUGGCGAUUCCUCAGGGAUCUAGAACUAGAAAUUCCAUUUGACCCAGCCAUCCCAUUACUGGGUAUAUACCCAAAUGACUAUAAAUCAUGCUGCUAUAAAGACACAUGCACACUCAUGUUUAUUGCAGCACUACUCACAAUAGCAAAGACUUGGAACCAACCCAAAUGUCCAUCAAUGAUAGACUGGAUUAAGAAAAUGUGGCACAUAUACACCAUGGAAUACUAUGCAGCCAUAAAAAAGGAUGAGUUAAUGUCGUUUAUAGGGACACGGAUGAAGUUGGAAACCAUCAUUCUCAGCAAACUAUCGCAAGGACAAACAACCAAACACCGUGUGUUCUCACUCAUAGGUGGGAAUUGAACAAUGAGAACACUUGGGCACAGGAAGGGAAACAUCACACACCGGGGCCUGUUGUGGGGUGGGGGGA